RNAcentral lists this ribosomal RNA (468 nucleotides) under uncultured bacterium. Its description in RNAcentral is "partial 16S ribosomal RNA". It matches the Rfam family "Bacterial small subunit ribosomal RNA", at positions 28 to 507 of the family's 1533-position model. The record is from RNAcentral.
GACGAACGCUGGCGGCGUGCUUAACACAUGCAAGUCGAACGGAAAGGCCCUGCUUUUGUGGGGUGCUCGAGUGGCGAACGGGUGUGUAACACGUGAGUAACCUGCCCUUGACUUUGGGAUAACUUCAGGAAACUGGGGCUAAUACCGGAUAGGAGCUCCUGCUGCAUGGUGGGGGUUGGAAAGUUUGGGCGGUUGGGGAUGGACUCGCGGCUUAUCAGCUUGUUGGUGGGGUAGUGGCUUACCAAGGCUUUGACGGGUAGCCGGCCUGAGAGGGUGACCGGCCACAUUGGGACUGAGGUACGGCCCAGACUCCUACGGGAGGCAGCAGUGGGGAAUAUUGCACAAUGGGCGGAAGCCUGAUGCAGCAACGCCGCGUGCGGGAUGACGGCCUUCGGGUUGUAAACCGCUUUCGCCUGUGACGAAGCGUGAGUGACGGUAAUGGGUAAAGAAGCACCGGCUAACUACGUG